Molecule: transfer RNA, 50 nt
Filed under: Vibrio cholerae CP1037(10)
Lineage: Bacteria; Pseudomonadati; Pseudomonadota; Gammaproteobacteria; Vibrionales; Vibrionaceae
Description: partial tRNA-OTHER
Rfam family: tRNA
About the family: Transfer RNA (tRNA) molecules are approximately 80 nucleotides in length. Their secondary structure includes four short double-helical elements and three loops (D, anti-codon, and T loops).
Source: RNAcentral
GUGGCUAUAGCUCAGUUGGUAGAGCCCCGGAUUGUGAUUCCGGUUGUCGU